UACGUAGGGUGCAAGCAUUAAUCGGAAUUAUUGGGCGUAAAGGGCGCGUAGGCGGAUUAACAAGUUGGAUGUGAAAUCCUAGGGCUCAACCUUAGAACUGCAUCCGAAACUGUUAAACUAGAGGGUAGGCGGAGAAAACGGAAUUCCACAAGUAGCGGUGAAAUGCGUAGAUAUGUGGAAGAACACCUGUGGCGAAAGCGGUUUUCUAGCUUAUUCCUGACGCUGAGGCGCGAAAGCGUGGGGAGCAAACAGG
RNAcentral lists this ribosomal RNA (253 nucleotides) under uncultured bacterium. Its description in RNAcentral is "partial 16S ribosomal RNA". It matches the Rfam family "Bacterial small subunit ribosomal RNA", at positions 524 to 776 of the family's 1533-position model. The record is from RNAcentral.